Molecule: unclassified non-coding RNA, 308 nt
Filed under: uncultured fungus
Lineage: Eukaryota; Fungi
Description: partial contains small subunit ribosomal RNA, internal transcribed spacer 1, and 5.8S ribosomal RNA
Rfam family: Eukaryotic small subunit ribosomal RNA (bases 1-73)
Source: RNAcentral
GCAAACUUGGUCAUUUAGAGGAAGUAAAAGUCGUAACAAGGUUUCCGUAGGUGAACCUGCGGAAGGAUCAUUAUUGAUUCAUGGGAUGGCGGAUGUGCUGGCUUUUUGCACUGUGCACUCCUGCUUCCUUAUUACAUUCUUGCAUUUGACCCUGUGCACCUUUUGUAGGUGGGACGUUUCAAACUCCCAUCUAUGCAUUUUUUUGCUUAAACACCCUCCUGUUUUGUAUACAUUUUUUGAAAAUGGAAAAACCUUUGACAACUUUCAACAAUGGAUCUCUUGGCUCUCGCAUCGAUGAAGAACGCAGC